Molecule: ribosomal RNA, 468 nt
Filed under: uncultured bacterium
Lineage: Bacteria
Description: partial 16S ribosomal RNA
Rfam family: Bacterial small subunit ribosomal RNA
Source: RNAcentral
GACGAACGCUGGCGGCGUGCUUAACACAUGCAAGUCGAACGGAAAGGCCCUGCUUUUGUGGGGUGCUCGAGUGGCGAACGGGUGAGUAACACGUGAGUAACCUGCCCUUGACUUUGGGAUAACUUCAGGAAACUGGGGCUAAUACCGGAUAGGAGCUCCUGCUGCAUGGUGGGGGUUGGAAAGUUUCCGCGGUUGGGGAUGGACUCGCGGCUUAUCAGCUUGUUGGUGGGGUAGUGGCUUACCAAGGCUUUGACGGGUAGCCGGCCUGAGAGGGUGACCGGCCACAUUGGGACUGAGAUACGGCCCAGAAUCCUACGGGAGGCAGCAGUGGGGAAUAUUGCAAAAUGGGCGGAAGCCUGAUGCAGCAACGCCGCGUGCGGGAUGACGGCCUUCGGGUUGUAAACCGCUUUCGCCUGUGACGAAGCGUGAGUGACGGUAAUGGGUAAAGAAGCACCGGCUAACUACGUG